Gallibacterium anatis is the source of this 45-nucleotide non-coding RNA. The record is from Rfam. NCBI's taxonomy places the organism in Bacteria, Pseudomonadati, Pseudomonadota, Gammaproteobacteria, Pasteurellales, Pasteurellaceae.
UUCACCGUGGUUCGCAAACCUCCCACGCAAAAAAACUAGGAAUAU